GUAGCCUUGCGCAUUCGAGGUUCUUCGGCAUUUGCCGAAGCUAAGAAGGGAACGCGGUCGAUGCCGCGGCUGCCCCCGCAACUGUGAACGGUGAUGUUCGCUGCCACGCCACUGCAAACCCUGUGCAACGGGUUCGCGGGAAGGCGCAGCAAACGCCAGUCCAACGACUGGCACACCGUCAGCCAGGAGACCUGCCUCGACACAGAUUCUCAC
Molecule: non-coding RNA, 213 nt
Filed under: Pseudomonas sp.
Lineage: Bacteria; Pseudomonadati; Pseudomonadota; Gammaproteobacteria; Pseudomonadales; Pseudomonadaceae
Source: RNAcentral